GCCACAAUAAAGUCGGUAGGGGUCUCCCCUUCCGACUUCGGUAAAAAAAAAACAUUUUUGCCACGAUAAAGAUAGUUGAUCAUGCAAGCGUGUUACAAUUUAUGGUCAGACAAUGUUGUCAAUUUCUGAUUUGGACUAGGUUCGUGGUAGUUUUUUCGUGUGCCCGCGGCUGACAUCACAGUUGGUGCCCGCACUACUAUGAUUUACAUGCAUGUCUCUUUGCCAAUUUGUUAGUUAGGGGGACAAGGAGGUCGAACAAUGGGGAAAUUGAGUAGAAAAAAAAACUGAAAAGCAGAAUCCGAAAAAAUAAUACUCGCUACGUCUAAGGGUCAUGCGAUGCACACUCGUAACCUUAUCAAAAAGAGAAAAAUAUUAACCGUAGCACCGUUUGAAAAAAUAUAUCACAUAACAUUUAGCAUAGGUCGUGUACCUCCAUUUUCUAAGUUGUACAUGAGAUCUUGCAAAAUUCUCAAAAUAGUUGCACUUUCCUUCUCAAAGUCUAGUAUUAGUGCUAUCAUUCCAUUGCAUGAGAGACAUUUAUUUGAAUAAAAUUGAAAAAUAUUGUAUACUCCUUUUGGUGAACUAUGCAACCAUUAUUACCAUAUAAUAAAAGGUAAGUAAAAAUCGACGUGAA
This 634-nucleotide long non-coding RNA is filed under the name Brachypodium distachyon (stiff brome). RNAcentral's name for it is "long non-coding RNA (BDIS_LNC002656)". The record is from RNAcentral. Lineage: Eukaryota; Viridiplantae; Streptophyta; Magnoliopsida; Poales; Poaceae.